Molecule: long non-coding RNA, 371 nt
Organism: Rhincodon typus (whale shark)
Lineage: Eukaryota; Metazoa; Chordata; Chondrichthyes; Orectolobiformes; Rhincodontidae
Exons: 2
Source: RefSeq, a predicted model, not a curated record
UUGGUCGGUAAGUCCUGGAUGUUGUGUAUUAUUCAGAGUCUGGUAUUUUCAACCUGGAUAAUUAUCUUUGCCCUUUGUUUUUAGGAAAAUUUCUUGGAUCAGAAACGUCACAUUUGAAGAUCCUGAAGUGUGAAUGAAUCAACAAACACAAGAUGUCAGGGGAACACCUUGCUCUGAAGUUAAUGGUAUAAAGGAAAUUGUUAUACCCUGUAUUGGGAGAAUCGGGUGCCGGUGGAGAUCGCCACUCACUCUCCUUGGUACCAAGUAAGGAAAUAAACUGCUUCAAACAGGACCUGGAGUCUAGUCUCAUUAUUACUUAAGCAGAAAUAAAAAUUUCUACAACAAACUGCAGAUGCUGUAAAUCAGGAACA